This 468-nucleotide ribosomal RNA is filed under the name uncultured bacterium. RNAcentral describes it as "partial 16S ribosomal RNA". It matches the Rfam family "Bacterial small subunit ribosomal RNA", at positions 28 to 507 of the family's 1533-position model. The record is from RNAcentral.
GACGAACGCUGGCGGCGUGCUUAACACAUGCAAGUCGAACGGAAAGGCCCUGCUUUUGUGGGGUGCUCGAGUGGCGAACGGGUGAGUAACACGUGAGUAACCUGCCCUUGACUUUGGGAUAACUUCAGGAAACUGGGGCUAAUACCGGAUAGGAGCUCCUGCUGCAUGGUGGGGGUUGGAUAGUUUCGGCGGUUGGGGAUGGACUCGCGGCUUAUCAGCUUGUUGGUGGGGUAGUGGCUUACCAAGGCUUUGACGGGUAGCCGGCCUGAGAGGGUGACCGGCCACAUUGGGACUGAGAUACGGCCCAGACUCCUACGGGAGGCAGCAGUGGGGAGUAUUGCACAAUGGGCGGAAGCCUGAUGCAGCAACGCCGCGUGCGGGAUGACGGCCUUCGGGUUGUAAACCGCUUUCGCCUGUGACGAAGCGUGAGUGACGGUAAUGGGUAAAGAAGCACCGGCUAACUACGUG